RNA transcript from Astyanax mexicanus (Mexican tetra), 7100 nucleotides. RefSeq lists it as uncharacterized. NCBI's taxonomy places the organism in Eukaryota, Metazoa, Chordata, Actinopteri, Characiformes, Acestrorhamphidae. The transcript is spliced from 2 exons. The record is from RefSeq and is a predicted model, not a curated record.
GCGAAUUCCCUUCAGUUAUAAAGGACUUUAAUUCUGGCGCCACUAGGGGGCACUCUUAGACUAGUGUAGAGCAGGCCUUUUCAGGCAAUAAGUUAGACAGCUCUGAGGGGUCCUUAGCACACGGUGUUCAUCUGCAGCAGCUAGAUAGAAGCUUCUUUGUGUUUCUCUACUGAAAGAGUUCAGUUCAUGCGUUCGUGAAGAGGUUAGUUACUAGUUUCUGCAUCUUUAUCUCCAUAUAUUUCUGUUGUGGUGUUAUUUGAAGCUGUUUUAGUUAAACAAUACAGUUAAAUACAGCGAACUAUAUACAACACUAGUUCAGAUAUUAUAUAAGCUCAGCGGCAGAGAUGUAAAAUGCACUACUGUCUAGUUUAAUGUGUGAUUUUAGCAAUAUUAUUCAGUAUGUGUAAUUAAGUAAGCUAAUUCAUGAGAAUGUUUGUAUAUUUCAUGUACUUAGUGAAUCUAUCUGUUAUUCCAGAUAACCAUGCCACUGUAACUCUGUACACUCCUGCUGAGCUGCAAUUCAUAUAAAGAGCACAAACUGCAUUCCCUGUCUCAGUGUCUACUCUCUUAUCGGAGUGCUAAGGUGGAUGAGGAGUCCCAGCAUAACUGCACUAAUUUACUAACGAGCUAUCUAACAACUGGUCCUUCGAGCCGGAUUUCUUCACCCACUGGGCAUUAUGACAGAGCAGGGAGCAGCAGAAGUUCACUACAAUGUCUCUUCAGGAGAUAAGAGGAGCAGGCACCUUCCAGCAUAUUUGCAACAAUACCAAGUGACAUUACCUCCUUCCUUGGUGACAUCUUCGAACCCACUCGACUUUCAUGGUUCCAAGAGCAAUGUCCAGAGGGUGAGUACACCCAGGCUGCAGUCAUCCAACGUUCCAUCCGAGUCUGUUACAGUGGAUUACCAGCCAAGUGUAGUGUUACUCCCCCCAUCUGGGUCAGCUCAGCCAAGGAGUGGUCAAGAGAUAAAUCAAUGGGAUUGUCAUGCAGAUAGCCAGAAUCUCUCCUUCCAAAUGAAUAAGUCUCUGAGCCUCAGUGAACAUUCGCUUGAUCUGCAAAGUCACCAUAGCAAUAACGGGGAAAUUGGAGAUGAGAGUGAUGGGGACUGUAGCUCAAUUCUAAGCAGAUCAGCAUCUCAUAUUUCUCAUCAUGCCCAAUCUCAAGAGCCAAGUGUAACCUUGCAACACAAUGUCCACUCCCCAACGUUAGGUGCUCAAGCAGAGAUGUUGCCACAUUGCACCCUGACUCAAGCACUACCUCAGUCUGUUUCAUCCACGAUACCUCUCAUGACCCAUACUGGUCAACCUGCCAGUUUUGGUGGUGGUCAGCCUCUCUCAUUUCCUCCAUGUAUGCCUAUCCACCAAAUGUAUCAGCCUUUAAUGCAGAACCAGCAGACAUUUCAGCCUAGACCUGCAAACCAAGCAUGUGCAGUCUAUCAGACAGCUAUGGUGUCCGUAGCACCGACAGUAUACCAGCCACCUUCUAUCCCAGCUGUACCAGCACACCAGCCAGUUACACCAGGGAUAACAUCACAACUGUAUCAGCCUCAGUCUGUGGGAGCAAGCUAUUCAGCCUAUCCAUACUCAACUGUAUUUACUCCACAGCCAGUAUAUCAACCAAACAGCACUCCAUUAUCUCAACCAUCUCAGCUUCUCUACCCAAGCUCAUUUCCUCAGGUGCAUCAGCCCCCACAUGUGCCACUCGCUCAGCCUGCAUAUCAAGCACCAGCAGCACCACCUGCAUCAGUGACCUAUCAGUUAGCCCCUCCUGUUAGGCCAGUUCAGUCUUCAUCACCAAACAUGUUCCAGCAUUUAGCUACAGCACCAGCUCUGUCACCAGCCCAACCAUGGACACAGCCUGUGCCAGUGCCAAAACUUCCUAAGCUUGAGCAUGACAGUGAAAGGGAAUUCACAGAUUUAAAGAUGGCCCUGGACUGCCUAUUAAAUCCACAUCCUGAGCUCACCGAAUACUACAAAUACAGAGUGCUCAUGGAACAUCUUAUCCUGGAUGAAGCUCGCAUGAUAGCUCAAUCUUGUCGGCAUUAUGCUCAACCUUAUACCACUGCAAUGCAAGCUUUACAGCGACAGUAUGGUCAACCACACCAACUCGCUCAGAGCGAAAUUGCUGCUAUCCUGAAUGCUCCUGAUGUGAAGGCUGGGGAUGCCAAGGCCUUUCAGAGUUUUGCACUCAAGGUGAAUCUGCUCGUGGGGAUGCUGACAUCACUUGAAGGCCCCAGAGGGCUAGAACUUACAUCGACUGGACACGUAGAUCGGCUCCUGAGUAAAAUCCCUAAGUACUUACGGGACAGCUUCGUGGAGCAUCUGCAAGUACAAGGUCGUCUGUUGACUGACAGCUUGAACCCUUACAGCUUGAGAGAUCUAGCAGAGUGGCUCACAGUGAAAGCCGAAGCCCAACGACUCUCAUCCAAGAUGGCACAACGCUACCAGACAGACAAAUCUGAGCCCAAGAAAGAUAAACAGUCUACGUCAAGACCAAGAGGCCAAGCUGUAGCUAUCUAUCAUGGGUCUGACAAAUUAAACACUGCCAGCACUCAGCCCAUUGAAUCUGCCCCACCAAGCAUCAAGCAGAAACCGACCAAACGCUUGUGUCUGUUCUGUAAGAGCAAUGAACACUACCUCUCACAGUGUACUAAUAUUACAUCCUGUACCACUGACCAGGUAGAAGCUUGGAUCACCAAGGGUAAAAGGUGCCGCAGAUGUGGUCGCACAAGUCAUGGGCCUGAAGCAUGCACUUUGAAGAAGGCCUGCAGUGAGUGCCAAGAGACUCAUCUAAAGGUUCUACAUGGUAUCGCUCAGCCAAGCCCUGGCAUGUAUCUUGUUACCCCAGUGGAGAGAGCUUCGCUUACCCCAGUAAACCAAACUGGUAAAGUCUUUCUGAAAGUUGUACCAGUCAUCAUAAGGUAUGAAGGCCGGUCACUGCAGACCCAUGCCAUUCUGGAUGACGGAGCCGAGCGAACAAUCAUCCUACCUGCAGCUGUACAGCACUUAGGCCUCGAAGGCAAAACUGAAUCAUUAGCUCUCAGAACAGUUCGCCAUGAUGUAGCUCACCUUACUGGCUCAUCUGUCAACUUUUAUGUGUCCUCUCUGGCCAAGCCCAACAAGCAGCAUCUCAUCCGCAGUGCCUUCACAGCAAGCCGCCUAGCUCUGGCUGAUCAAGCAUACCCAGUGACAGCUCUCCAGAAGCGGUAUCGCCACCUUAGGGGGAUCCCAAUACAGCCCUUUGACAAGGCUCAUCCACUUCUCCUUAUUGGAGCAGACCACACACACUUGAUCGCAGCCAAGGCACCAGUUACACAAGGCAUCAAUGGUGGACCAGCCGCUAUCCACACCGAACUUGGAUGGGCUCUUCAGGGUCCCGAUGGACUCCCAUCUCAUGAAGUGCAGCCAUCCACAUGCUACUUCACCUCACUCAGACCAGCUCCUGAUGAUCUCUAUCAGCAUGUAGAACGUCUCUGGCAGCUUGAUGUACUGCCUUUCCGGAGUGAGAAGUUGGCUGUCCGAUCUAAACAAGACCAACAAGCGGUGGAUAUGCUAGAGUCACACACCACCAGAGUAAACAUUGGGGGUGUACUAAGGUAUGCCACACCCUUAAUUCGUGCUAAAGGAGCACCAGAACUGAAGACUACAGUGGAUGCAGUCUUGCCAUCUCUUCGAAGUUCCGAGAGAAGGCUGGCCAAAGACCCUGUCAAAGCACAAAUCUAUGAGUCUGAGAUACAGAAACUCAUCGAUGGAGGAUGUGUGAACCGACUCAACCCAGAAGAGGUGGAUCAAACAAGUGAGUCUUGGUUCAUACCACAUCACCUUGUCCAACAUAAUGGCAAACACAGACUAGUGUUUAACUGCUCAUUCUCCUAUCAAGGCCUCUCACUCAAUGAACAGCUCCUCCCUGGCCCCAUCCUCGGACCAUCGCUCAUUGGGGUCAUCUUGCGGUUUCGGCAGUACCCGGUGGCCAUAAGUGGAGACAUAAAGGCUAUGUUUCACCAGGUACGCCUCCUGCCUGGAGAUCAGCCCCUGUUGAGGUUCGCAUGGAGGAAUCUACGAAAGGAAGAUGCUCCAGAUGUGUACCAAUGGCAAGUCUUGCCAUUUGGUACUACUUGCAGCCCAUGCUGCGCAAUCUUUGCAUUACAAAAGCAUAUCAGAGACCAUGUGGACCAGGAGGACACUGUAAAGUCGAUAGAGCAGUCGUUUUAUGUGGACAACUGUUUGAAGUCUCUCCCAACAACAGAGGAAGCAAAGAGCCUGGUGGACAAGAUGUGUCAAGUUCUCGCUGAAGGAGGGUUCGAGAUUAGACAGUGGGCAAGCAACGACCCCGAGGCUAUCAACCAUCUGCCUUCAUCUGCGAGGUCAGAGAGCACUGAAUUAUGGCUUACAGAGAAGCACACAGAUCCACAAGAACCUGCAUUAGGGUUGAGCUGGCAUUGCAUCACUGAUCAGCUUGGGUACAAGGUGAGACCGCUGGAGCCACAACUCCCCACCAUGAGAACUAUAUACAGAGUUCUUGCUAGUCAAUAUGAUCCCCUGGGUGUGAUCAUUCCCUAUACAACACGAGCCAAGGUCAUUGUUCAGAGGCUGUGGGCAAAGAAACGAAGCUGGGAUGAUCCAAACCUUCCAGCAGAACUGUUGGAGGCAUGGACCACCUGGGAGAAUGAACUCCCCAAGCUAAAGGACAUAGUCUUGCCUCGAUCAUUCGCUCCUCCAACCCAGGGCACCCAAGUCUCAGAGUAUACGCUGCAUAUCUUCUCUGACUCUUCUGAACAGGCAUAUGGGUCAGUGGCCUAUUUGACCACAGAACUCGAAGGUCAAGUUUUCACUUCCUUUGUAAUGGCCAGGUCCAGGGUGGCGCCCAAACGUCAGCUCUCAAUGCCGAGGCUCGAAUUGCGUGCUGCGCUCACAGGAGCCCAACUCUCUGCUCUUAUUCACCGAGAGCUGACCCUGAACAUUACCAAGACCUUUCUCUGGUCCGACUCUACCACAGUGCUUAGCUGGCUCAAAUCGGAGUCGUGCCGAUUUAAAGUCUUCGUAGGCACCAGGGUCUCAGAGAUACAGGAGCUUACUCAGCCCCAUGAAUGGAGGUAUGUCAAUUCAGCAAACAAUCCCGCAGAUGACAUCACACGGGGCAAGCCCUUAGCAGAUCUUGGCCCACAGAGCCGCUGGAUUAAGGGGCCUUCAUUCCUUCAUGAGCCCCCUGAAAAAUGGCCUCAAGUUCCCAUCUCUAGCAACCUGGAGAACUCGGACGAGUUAAAGCAGAGUGCUUUCUGUGGUCUCUCCACGACUAACUCAGCAACAGCGAUUCCUGACCCCACACAGUUCACCACAUGGUCUGAAUUGGUAGCAGCCACAAAACAAGCCUUACAUGGAGCAGAGUCUGAUCCUGCUUCACCUCCAUUGGAUCUGCAUGAUGUUGAAAAACACAUCCUGAGAACCAGCCAAACUGACAGUUUUCCAGAGGAAGUUAGAUUGCUUAAAGCACACAAGCCUGUUUCACCCAGUAGCCGAUUAAGCACACUCUCUCCUGAAUGGGAUGCAGAAACUGGUCUUGUCAGAGUUGGGGGUCGUCUUCGCCAUCUGGAGAACCCUGACCUAUCAGACAUCCAUCCAGUGGUCCUAGACCCUCAGCAUCCUGUAACCCAACUCCUAAUUAAGGAUGUAGAUGUUCGUUUGCUUCAUCCUGGGCCUGAUCGCGUGUUUGCUGAGCUAAGACGCCAAUACUGGAUACUUCGAGGAAGACAAGCAGUAAGGCAUCAUCAGAGAACCUGUAUUGGCUGCAGAAGAUGGAGAGGGCGACCAACUGUGCCCAUAAUGGCAGAUCUGCCACCAGCUCGCCUACGGCUGUUUAAACCACCUUUCUACUCGACCGGAGUCGACUGUUUUGGCCCGUACCUGGUAAAGGUGGGACGGCGACAGGAAAAGCGCUGGGGAGUGAUAUUUAAAUGCCUCACUACUCGAUCUGUCCACUUGGAUCUGCUGAACAGUCUGGAUGCAGACGCUUUCCUCCUCGCAUUAAGGCGUUUCAUAGCACGACGUGGUACUCCCUGUGAGAUCUUAUCCGAUCAGGGUACCAAUUUCAAAGGUGCAGAGACAGAACUGAAGGAGGCAUUUUCAUCAAUGGAACCGCAGCUGCGGAAAAGCCUAGAGGAGCGGCAAAUCAGCUUCAGAUUCAACCCCCCUGGAUCUCCUCAUUUUGGAGGAAUUUGGGAGCGGGAGAUCCGAUCAGUUAAGAGAGCUUUGCAGGUCGUGGUGGGAGCCCAAGUAGUUUCUGAGGAUGUUCUGCUCACCGUCCUAGUUGAGGUAGAGGGGAUACUCAACUCAAAGCCUCUCGGAUAUGUCUCCUCGGACAUAGCAGACCCUGACCCAGUGACGCCGAAUAUGUUGUUGAUGGGGCGGCGGGACGCCUCACUUCCCCAGGUGUGUUAUGCCUUGGAUUCCCUGACCAAGAGGCGAUGGCGUCACAGUCAAAUGAUGGCAGACCACUUCUGGUCCCAGUUUACACGAAACUAUCUGCCAUCCCUGCAGGUGCGACAGAAAUGGCAGAAAGCCUGCGAUAACCUCGCUCCAGAUACUGUGGUGAUGAUUGUUGAUUCCCAGCUGCCACGUGCCUGUUGGCCGAUCGGAAAAGUGGUCAAGCUGAAUGUUAGUGCUGAUGGAAAUGUCAGAUCAGCUGAAAUCAGAGUGAAGGAUAAGGUCUACAUGCGUCCAGUGGCCCGUCUAGUUCAGCUGCCAUCUAUUCAGGAUGACGAUCCUGCAUCUGCUGAAACUUCAGGAAAUUCUUAGACUUUACAUAAUAGCCAGGCUAUUCUGGGGGCGGCUGUUGCGAAUUCCCUUCAGUUAUAAAGGACUUUAAUUCUGGCGCCACUAGGGGGCACUCUUAGACUAGUGUAGAGCAGGCCUUUUCAGGCAAUAAGUUAGACAGCUCUGAGGGGUCCUUAGCACACGGUGUUCAUCUGCAGCAGCUAGAUAGAAGCUUCUUUGUGUUUCUCUACUGAAAGAGUUCAGUUCAUGCGUUCGUGAAGAGAUAACCAUGCCACUGUAACUCUGUACACUCCUGCUGAGCUGCAAUUCAUAUAAAGAGCACAAACUGCA